AGGUAGCAAGUUUCACAAGGUCAAAACAAAAACUAAAUACAAGCACUCCAUCAACCCAAGCUUCCGUGAUCUUAAGCAAAUCUGUAAAAUGGGAAAGAAGAAAGUUAGAAGAAGAAGACUAGAAGAAGAAGAUUAUUAUGAUGCAACUAAAAUGUGAAGAUUAUUAUGAUGCAACUUAUAUCUGUAAAAUAGGUCAUUUUGGAGCUAAGUAUGGUUAUUAUGUCAUUUUUGAGCUAGCUAAGCAUACUAAGUCAUUUUGGUGUAAAACAUGCUAAGGUCAUUCUAGAGCUAAGUAAGUUUAUUAUGUCAUUUUGGAGCUAGCUAAGCAUGUGAAGUCAUUUAGGAGCUAAAAUAUGUCAUUUCUUAAGCAUAUUAUGUCAUUUUAGAGUUAGCUAAGCAUAUUAAGUCAUUUUGGAGGAAAAAAUGCUAAGUAUAGGUCAUUUUAGAGCUAGCCUAGGUUGAAUAGGUCAUUUUGAAGCUAAGUAAGGUUAUUAUGUCAUUUUGGAGCUAGCUAAGAAUAUGAAGUCAUUUAGGACCUAAAAUAUGUCAUUUCUUAAGCAUAUUAUAUCAUUUUAGAGCUAGCUAAGCAUAUUAAGUCAUUUUGGAGGAAAAGAUGCUAAGUAUAGGUCAUUUUAGAGCUAUCCUAGGUUAAAUAGGUCAUUUUUAAGCUAGCUAAGCAUAUUAAGUCAUUUUGGAGGAAAAAUGCAAAGUAUAGGCCAUUUUAGAGCUAUCCUAGGUUAAAUAUGUUAUUUUGGAGCUAAUUAAGCUUAUUAUGUCAUUUUGGAGCUAGCUAAGCAUGUGAAGUCAUUUAGGGGCUAAACUAUGUCAUUUCUUAAGCAUAUUAUGUCAUUUUAGAGCUAGUUAAGCAUAUUAACUAAUUUUGGAGGAAAAGAUUCUAAGUAUAGGUCAUUUUGAAGCUAGCUAAGCAUAUUAAAUCAUUUUGGAGGAAAAAAAUGCUAAGUAUAGGUCAUUUUAGAGCUAUCCUAGGUUAAAUAGGUCAUUUUGGAGCUAAUUAAGCUAAUUAUGUAAUUUUUGAGCUAGCUAAGCAUAUUAAGUCAUUUUGGAGGAAAAAACUGCUGAGUAUAGGUCAUUUUAGAGCUAGCCUAGGUUGAAUAGGUCAUUUUGAAUCUAAGUAAGGUUAUUAUGUCAUUUUGGAGCUAGCUAAGCAUAUGAAGUCAUUUAGGACCUAAAAUAUGUCAUUCAUUCAGCAUAUUAUAUCAUUUUAGAGCUAGCUAAGCAUAUUAAGUCAUUUUGGAGGAAAAGAUGCUAAGUAUAGGCCAUUUUAGAGCUAUCCUAGGUUAAAUAGGUCAUUUUUAAGCUAGCUAAGCAUAUUAAGUCAUUUUGGAGGAAAAAUGCUAAGUAUCGGUCAUUUUAGAGCUAUCCUAGGUUAAAUAUGUCAUUUUGGAGCUAAUUAAGCUUAUUAUGUCAUUUUGGAGCUAGCUAAGCAUGUGAAGUCAUUUAGGAGCUAAACUAUGUCAUUUCUUAAGCAUAUUAUGUCAUUUUAGAGCUAGUUAAGCAUAUUAACUAAUUUUGGAGGAAAAAAUUCUAAGUAUAGGUCAUUUUGAAGCUAGCUAAGCAUAUUAAGUCAUCUUGGAGGAAAAAAUGCUAAGUAUAGGUCAUUUUAGAGCUAUCGUAGGUUAAAUAGGUCAUUUUGGAGCUAAUUAAGCUUAUUAUGUAAUUUUUGAGCUAGCUAAGCAUAUUAAGUCAUUUUGGAGGAAAAAAAUGCUAAGUAUAGGUCAUUUUAGAGCUAGCCUAGAUUGAAUAGGUCAUUUUGAAGCUAAGUAAGGUUGUUAUGUCAUUUUGGAGCUAGCUAAGCAUAUGAAGUCAUUUAGGACCUAAAAUAUGUCAUUUCUUAAGCAUAUUAUAUCAUUUUAGAGCUAGCUAAGCAUAUUAAGUCAUUUUGGAGGAAAAGAUGCUAAGUAUAGGUCAUUUUAGAGCUAUCCUAGGUUAAAUAGGUCAUUUUUAAGCUAGCUAAGCAUAUUAAGUUAUUUUGGAGGAAAAUGCUACGUAUAGGUCAUUUUAGAGCUAUCCUAGGUUAAAUAUGUCAUUUUGGAGCUAAUUAAGCUUAUUAUGUCAUUUUGGAGCUAGCUAAGAAUGUGAAGUCAUUUAGGAGCUAAACUAUGUCAUUUCUUAAGCAUAUUAUGUCAUUUUAGAGCUAGUUAAGCAUAUUAACUAAUUUUGGAGGAAAAGAUUCUAAGUAUAGGUCAUUUUGAAGCUAGCUAAGCAUAUUAAGUCAUUUUGGAGGAAAAAAUGCUAAGUAUAGGUCAUUUUAGAGCUAUCCUAGGUUAAAUAGGUCAUUUUGGAGCUAAUUAAGCUUAUUAUGUAAUUUUUGAGCUAGCUAAGCAUAUUAAGUCAUUUUGGAGGAAAAAAUGCUAAGUAUAGGUCAUUUUAGAGCUAGCCUAGGUUGAAUAGGUCAUUUUGAAGCUAAGUAAGGUUAUUAUGUCAUUUUGGAGCUAGCUAAGCAUAUGAAGUCAUUUAGGACCUAAAAUAUGUCAUUUCUUAAGCAUAUUAUAUCAUUUUAGAGCUAGCUAAGCAUAUUAAGUCAUUUUGGAGGAAAAGAUGCUAAGUAUAGGUCAUUUUAGAGCUAUUCUAGGUUAAAUAUGACAUUUUAAAGCUAGCUAAGCAUAUUAAGUCAUUUUGGAGGAAAAAUGCUAAGUAUAGGUCAUUUUAGAGCUAUCCUAGGUUAAAUAUGUCAUUUUGGAGCUAAUUAAGCUUAUUAUGUCAUUUUUGAGCUAGCUAAGCAUAUUGAGUCAUUUUGGAGGAAAAAUGCUAAGUAUAUGAUUAUGUCGCUAGUAUCCAUAUGGCAGAGAACCCGGGCCGACAUGACUAGUCAUAGAACCAAGGUGGCACAAACAUACAGGGACAGGCAUACAUGACCCAGCAAUGCACGUGUCGGUCAUCAGCGAGUGCAACCAAGUCGUAGCAUGCUACAAGGACUUCGGUGAUACACCGCGUGACAUUUCCCCGUAGGGACAGACACAGGAGCAAAGAAGGACACAUGCCGGUCAAUCCAUGUGUUCUGGAGCAGUAGCGAACUACCAUGGCUCAGUGGAAGCACUAGGAGGCAUUUCCCUGUAUGGAAGGCUAACAAAGGAACACGACUAGGUGUCGAAUCCCACACAUACAAUGCAUUUCAAACAUACACACAUUAUGCAUGAUAUGUAUAGAUACAACAUGGCAUCACAACAAAACUCUAUUAAGCAAAACACUUGGGAAACUUACCGUCAUCACGGAGGUGUAGGUGUAGGUGUAGGUGUAGGACCGGUCGCGCCAGUGGCAGACGGAGAAGGAUCGAUCGAUGCUUGUCGGGAGUUACGCUGCACCAAAGAUUAUUUCCAAUGUAUCGUUAGCAUGAUGCAACUCAAAUGUGAAGACUAGUAACUAAUGACUGUUCAAAUGAAACUCACCGUGCCCGCCGGAGCAAUGACUGGCAUCGGCGGAGGGGUCUGGCCGUUCUUCUCGCACAUGGACUGCACAUUUGGUUUUGAUGAGUCAGUCAUAUUAGUUACUAAUGAAAGGAACAUUGCGUGCAUGAUUUAGCUAAUAUGCAGAAGAAACUUA
Molecule: long non-coding RNA, 3561 nt
Filed under: Triticum aestivum (bread wheat)
Lineage: Eukaryota; Viridiplantae; Streptophyta; Magnoliopsida; Poales; Poaceae
Description: long non-coding RNA (TAES_LNC003472)
Source: RNAcentral